CCCGCACAAGCGGAGGAACAUUGUGGUUUAAUUCGAUGAUACGCGAGGAACCUUACCUGGGCUUAAAUGUAGAGUGCAUUUUUUAGAGAUAGAAAUUCCCUUCGGGGCUUUCUGCAAGGUGCUGCAUGGUUGUCGUCAGCUCGUGCCGUGAGGUGUCGGGUUAAGUCCCAUAACGAGCGCAACCCUUAUCGUUAGUUGCCAUCUGGUAAUGCAGGGGACUCUAGCGAAACUGCCACCGUAAGGUGAGAGGAAGGUGGGGAUGACGUCAAAUCAGCACGGCCCUUAUGUCCAGGGCUACACACGUGUUACAAUGGUCGGUACAGAGGGCAGCUACCUGGUGACAGGAUGCUAAUCUCGAAAACCGGUCUCAGUUCGGAUCGAAGUCUGCAACUCGACUCCAUGAAGUCGGAAUCGCUAGUAAUCACGGAUCAGCAUGCCGCGGUGAAUACGUUCCCGGGCCUU
RNAcentral lists this ribosomal RNA (462 nucleotides) under uncultured Sphingobacteriales bacterium. Its description in RNAcentral is "bacterial SSU rRNA". It matches the Rfam family "Bacterial small subunit ribosomal RNA", at positions 920 to 1382 of the family's 1533-position model. The record is from RNAcentral. Lineage: Bacteria; Pseudomonadati; Bacteroidota; Sphingobacteriia; Sphingobacteriales.